RNAcentral lists this unclassified non-coding RNA (449 nucleotides) under Hevea brasiliensis (rubber tree). Lineage: Eukaryota; Viridiplantae; Streptophyta; Magnoliopsida; Malpighiales; Euphorbiaceae. The record is from RNAcentral.
GCCAAGUACAAAAUGUGCAUGUGCAUUCUUUGGCAUUUUUCGCGCAACAUGUAUCAAGCCAGUUUUAAGACUGCUAACUUUUUCUUCCCGAGAUGAAGGGACCCCAUGAACAUUAUGAUCAGCCUCUGCAUCAGCUCCAUUACAAUCAGGAGGACAUUCUAACUUACCCAUUCUUGAACGGCAUUUUCCCAAUUUUUUCAAUUGUUUACCUUCUGUUUCUGCAAUCUCUAUGUCUUUCUUCAGCUUAUCCUGACAAAUUUCAUCAGCUAUUACCCUGGAUAAACAUAUAGGAGACACAGCAGCUACGGGUACUGAAUCAUUGCCGUCGGAAUCAGGAGGGUCAACGUUGAGGUCAGCCAAAACGAUUUUCGACGGCUGAUACUGAAGUGGUGGCUGUAACCUCACGGAGCCGGAGUUCCUGUCAACGACGAGAGAUUCUGACUUCAUUG